GAUGAAGAACGUAGCGAAAUGCGAUACGUAAUGUGAAUUGCAGAAUUCAGUGAAUCAUCGAAUCUUUGAACGCAUAUUGCGCUCUUUGGUAUUCCGAAGAGCAUGCUUGUUUGAGUAUCAGUAAACACCUCAAAGCUUUUGGAUUUUUUAAUCGAAAAGCUUUGGACUUGAGCAAUCCCAACACCAAUCUUUUUGAGAUCGGUGGCGGGUUGCUUGAAAUGCAGGUGCAGCUGGACAUUCUCCUGAGCUAAAAGCAUAUUCAUUUAGUCCCGUCAAACGGAUUAUUACUUUUGCUGCAGCUAACAUAAAGGGAGUUUGACCGUAUUGGCUGACUGAUGCAGGAUUUCACAAGGGUCGGCAACGAUUCUUGUUAACCUCGAUCUCAAAUCAAGUAAGACUACCCGCUGAACUUAAGCAUAUCAAUAAGCGGAGGA
This 434-nucleotide unclassified non-coding RNA is filed under the name soil metagenome. RNAcentral describes it as "partial contains 5.8S ribosomal RNA, internal transcribed spacer 2, and large subunit ribosomal RNA". The stretch from base 1 to 120 matches the Rfam family "5.8S ribosomal RNA", at positions 35 to 154 of the family's 154-position model. The record is from RNAcentral.